RNAcentral lists this long non-coding RNA (217 nucleotides) under Elaeis guineensis (African oil palm). Its description in RNAcentral is "long non-coding RNA (EGUI_LNC009201)". The record is from RNAcentral. Lineage: Eukaryota; Viridiplantae; Streptophyta; Magnoliopsida; Arecales; Arecaceae.
UGCCCUUCUUGUCUGUAUAACUCGAUCGGAAGAUGACGCUAUGGCUGGGCAUCACCCCCUCUCUCAUCAACUAAAACAAUCAAUCAGCUUAUUAGAAACACAUAAAAAUAAUAAUUCAAUAACUUGUAAACUAAAAGAUCAGAAUUUAUUACCUCUCUAUGCACACGAGUGAUCAUAGACUCACAAUCGAAAGUGUGCGUGUACUCUUCAGUAGCCC